RNAcentral lists this ribosomal RNA (253 nucleotides) under uncultured bacterium. RNAcentral's name for it is "partial 16S ribosomal RNA". It matches the Rfam family "Bacterial small subunit ribosomal RNA", at positions 524 to 776 of the family's 1533-position model. The record is from RNAcentral.
UACGUAGGGUGCAAGCGUUGUCCGGAAUUAUUGGGCGUAAAGAGCGUGUAGGCGGCUUGAUAAGUCUGCUCUGAAAGCCCGGGGCUCAACCCUGGGAGGCGGGUGGAUACUGUCGAGCUCGAGUCCGGAAGAGGCGAGUGGAAUUCCUGGUGUAGCGGUGAAAUGCGCAGAUAUCGGGAGGAACACCAGUGGCGAAGGCGGCUACCUGGACCACAACUGACGCUGAGGCGCGAAAGCUAGGGGAGCAAACAGG